RNAcentral lists this ribosomal RNA (325 nucleotides) under uncultured eukaryote. RNAcentral describes it as "partial 18S ribosomal RNA". It matches the Rfam family "Eukaryotic small subunit ribosomal RNA", at positions 1470 to 1796 of the family's 1831-position model. The record is from RNAcentral.
CCCUUCGAUGUUCUGGGCCGCACGCGCGCUACACUGAUGCGUUCAGCAAGCCUUUAACCUUCACCGAUAGGUGCGGGUAAUCUUCUGAAAGCGCAUCGUGUUUGGGCUAGAUGAUUGCAAUUAUUCAUCUUCAACGAGGAAUACCUAGUAAACGCAAGUCAUCAACUUGCAUUGAUUACGUCCCUGCCCUUUGUACACACCGCCCGUCGCUCCUACCGAUUGAAUGGUCCGGUGAAAUCUCCGGACUGGCGUGAGUCGGAGCAAUCUGACAAACACCGGAAAGUUGAUUAAACCUUACCAUUUAGAGGAAGGUGAAGUCGUAACA